Stomoxys calcitrans (stable fly) is the source of this 1581-nucleotide long non-coding RNA. RefSeq lists it as uncharacterized. The record is from RefSeq and is a predicted model, not a curated record. The transcript is spliced from 4 exons. Lineage: Eukaryota; Metazoa; Arthropoda; Insecta; Diptera; Muscidae.
CGAUAAGUCGAGUUGUUACAAACCGAAUGACGCGAUUAGUAUACCCCCUCCCAUCAUAUGGCUUUUAUAAACGACUUUUGUUCAAGCAACAAGCACAGCAUCCGCAACAAAGCAACAAAUCUUCCCAGCCAAAGUAGUGUUUCCGACUGCCAAACCUGAUAUGGGGGUGCACAUAUGUCUGCUAAAGAUUCCUUUUAUUACAAAUUCACCCACAGUAGUUCUUCGUUAGGAUAAUUUUCAGGUUCUUCAUCAGCUAGUGUCUCUGGUUCAUUGGUUCGUUCAGCCAAUAGUUAGUUAUGGAUAGAUUCUACAUAUCAGACAACAAAGAGUGGAUUUAAGAAGGCGAGUAUGAAUGAAGUUCAUAAUUUACGACGCCGUUGCACGCAAACCGAAAAUAGUCCUUUUGAAUUUUGUUAUCUUGAACUUGUUGUAAAUUCAUGGAAAGAUAAUUUAUCUGCCCUGGGAGAUUCGCUAUGCAUAACAUUACCUCCAACUUCCGUUUGAGUUUCAGUUCCUUCGUUGAUAAAGUACUGAUGCCAUAUGACUCUACUAUCACCAGAAGUAUCUGCCAUAACUACACUACCCUAUACAUCACUUAAAACAUGCUACUUACUUUUUGGGUAUAGUAGAGACAUAAGGCAUCAGUACUUUGUCAACGAAGGAGCCGAAACCCAAACGGAAAUUGGAGGUAAUAUUACGCAUAGUUUCGGAAAGUAAAUCACCCAAAGCAGAUAAUUUCUCUUUGUCAUCUUCCAUAGAUUUUGACAAGUCCAUAAGAUAAUAUAAAUCAACGGGAUAAUCUUCGGCUUGUGAGUAACGGAAUUGUAAAUUAUGGACUUCAUCUGGAAUGGAGUAAUAACAAUUUGUUAGCAUUAGUGUAUGACUCUCUUAAACUAUUCACCGUUACUUACUCAUACGCAAUUUUAAAUUCACUCUCUGUGGACUAAUUUGUACAAUUUCCCCAUAGCUACUGGCUGAAGCUGAUGAACCAUGGGCACUGGCAGAUGAAGAGCUGGAAAAUGAUCCCGACAUAGAACUGCUGUAGGAGGAAUUGUAAUAAUAGGAACCUCCAGAUGACAUUUGACCACCACCCAUCAUAGCAGCACCCCCACUUGCUCGACUCAGCUCUUGACUGACCAGAAUUUCUUGUAUGGUCUUUGGAUUUUGUAUGUAUUGGGCACUACAAAAAUUAUUCAUAUAUUCCGAGAAGCAUCUGGGUUUGUCGCCAUGAUUUGGAUCCGAACACCAGGCACACUCUAGUGUCUGUAUACAUUCGUGACAGGUGGCUUUGUUAACGCAGGCAUUUUGGGUUAAUUUGCCGGCCAAUUGACUUUCAGCCGCAAGCACAAAACACAAUAGAAGAAAUGUUGCUAACGCCAGCGUCUGCAGGCGUAGUUUGGAAGAUAUCAUGUUUGGCUAUUGGAAAACUAAAGUUUCGUUGAUUGGUUGCUGUUGCUUAAACUAGAGUCGUUCGUUUACUGAAAUGGCAGAAAAGCAAAGAAUUCAAAUAAGCAAAGAGUAUGAAAUGAAAUUCUAUUGUGCCAUAAAUAACAAUAUCUAUUAAAUAUUUAGUCAUCUCAA